GGUUAAGCGACUAAGCGUACACGGUGGAUGCCCUGGCAGUCAGAGGCGAUGAAGGACGUGCUAAUCUGCGAUAAGCGUCGGUAAGGUGAUAUGAACCGUUAUAACCGGCGAUUUCCGAAUGGGGAAACCCAGUGUGUUUCGACACACUAUCAUUAACUGAAUCCAUAGGUUAAUGAGGCGAACCGGGGGAACUGAAACAUCUAAGUACCCCGAGGAAAAGAAAUCAACCGAGAUUCCCCCAGUAGCGGCGAGCGAACGGGGAGGAGCCCAGAGCCUGAAUCAGUGUGUGUGUUAGUGGAAGCGUCUGGAAAGGCGCGCGAUACAGGGUGACAGCCCCGUACACAAAAAUGCACAUACUGUGAGCUCGAUGAGUAGGGCGGGACACGUGGUAUCCUGUCUGAAUAUGGGGGGACCAUCCUCCAAGGCUAAAUACUCCUGACUGACCGAUAGUGAACCAGUACCGUGAGGGAAAGGCGAAAAGAACCCCGGCGAGGGGAGUGAAAAAGAACCUGAAACCGUGUACGUACAAGCAGUGGGAGCCUCUUUUAUGGGGUGACUGCGUACCUUUUGUAUAAUGGGUCAGCGACUUAUAUUCUGUAGCAAGGUUAACCGAAUAGGGGAGCCGAAGGGAAACCGAGUCUUAACUGGGCGUUAAGUUGCAGGGUAUAGACCCGAAACCCGGUGAUCUAGCCAUGGGCAGGUUGAAGGUUGGGUAACACUAACUGGAGGACCGAACCGACUAAUGUUGAAAAAUUAGCGGAUGACUUGUGGCUGGGGGUGAAAGGCCAAUCAAACCGGGAGAUAGCUGGUUCUCCCCGAAAGCUAUUUAGGUAGCGCCUCGUGAAUUCAUCUCCGGGGGUAGAGCACUGUUUCGGCAAGGGGGUCAUCCCGACUUACCAACCCGAUGCAAACUGCGAAUACCGGAGAAUGUUAUCACGGGAGACACACGGCGGGUGCUAACGUCCGUCGUGAAGAGGGAAACAACCCAGACCGCCAGCUAAGGUCCCAAAGUCAUGGUUAAGUGGGAAACGAUGUGGGAAGGCCCAGACAGCCAGGAUGUUGGCUUAGAAGCAGCCAUCAUUUAAAGAAAGCGUAAUAGCUCACUGGUCGAGUCGGCCUGCGCGGAAGAUGUAACGGGGCUAAACCAUGCACCGAAGCUGCGGCAGCGACACUAUGUGUUGUUGGGUAGGGGAGCGUUCUGUAAGCCUGUGAAGGUGUACUGUGAGGUAUGCUGGAGGUAUCAGAAGUGCGAAUGCUGACAUAAGUAACGAUAAAGCGGGUGAAAAGCCCGCUCGCCGGAAGACCAAGGGUUCCUGUCCAACGUUAAUCGGGGCAGGGUGAGUCGACCCCUAAGGCGAGGCCGAAAGGCGUAGUCGAUGGGAAACAGGUUAAUAUUCCUGUACUUGGUGUUACUGCGAAGGGGGGACGGAGAAGGCUAUGUUGGCCGGGCGACGGUUGUCCCGGUUUAAGCGUGUAGGCUGGUUUUCCAGGCAAAUCCGGAAAAUCAAGGCUGAGGCGUGAUGACGAGGCACUACGGUGCUGAAGCAACAAAUGCCCUGCUUCCAGGAAAAGCCUCUAAGCAUCAGGUAACAUCAAAUCGUACCCCAAACCGACACAGGUGGUCAGGUAGAGAAUACCAAGGCGCUUGAGAGAACUCGGGUGAAGGAACUAGGCAAAAUGGUGCCGUAACUUCGGGAGAAGGCACGCUGAUAUGUAGGUGAAGUCCCUCGCGGAUGGAGCUGAAAUCAGUCGAAGAUACCAGCUGGCUGCAACUGUUUAUUAAAAACACAGCACUGUGCAAACACGAAAGUGGACGUAUACGGUGUGACGCCUGCCCGGUGCCGGAAGGUUAAUUGAUGGGGUCAGCGCAAGCGAAGCUCUUGAUCGAAGCCCCGGUAAACGGCGGCCGUAACUAUAACGGUCCUAAGGUAGCGAAAUUCCUUGUCGGGUAAGUUCCGACCUGCACGAAUGGCGUAAUGAUGGCCAGGCUGUCUCCACCCGAGACUCAGUGAAAUUGAACUCGCUGUGAAGAUGCAGUGUACCCGCGGCAAGACGGAAAGACCCCGUGAACCUUUACUAUAGCUUGACACUGAACAUUGAGCCUUGAUGUGUAGGAUAGGUGGGAGGCUUAGAAGUGUGGACGCCAGUCUGCAUGGAGCCGACCUUGAAAUACCACCCUUUAAUGUUUGAUGUUCUAACGUUGACCCGUGAUCCGGGUUGCGGACAGUGUCUGGUGGGUAGUUUGACUGGGGCGGUCUCCUCCUAAAGAGUAACGGAGGAGCACGAAGGUUGGCUAAUCCUGGUCGGACAUCAGGAGGUUAGUGCAAUGGCAUAAGCCAGCUUGACUGCGAGCGUGACGGCGCGAGCAGGUGCGAAAGCAGGUCAUAGUGAUCCGGUGGUUCUGAAUGGAAGGGCCAUCGCUCAACGGAUAAAAGGUACUCCGGGGAUAACAGGCUGAUACCGCCCAAGAGUUCAUAUCGACGGCGGUGUUUGGCACCUCGAUGUCGGCUCAUCACAUCCUGGGGCUGAAGUAGGUCCCAAGGGUAUGGCUGUUCGCCAUUUAAAGUGGUACGCGAGCUGGGUUUAGAACGUCGUGAGACAGUUCGGUCCCUAUCUGCCGUGGGCGCUGGAGAACUGAGGGGGGCUGCUCCUAGUACGAGAGGACCGGAGUGGACGCAUCACUGGUGUUCGGGUUGUCAUGCCAAUGGCACUGCCCGGUAGCUAAAUGCGGAAGAGAUAAGUGCUGAAAGCAUCUAAGCACGAAACUUGCCCCGAGAUGAGUUCUCCCUGACCCUUUAAGGGUCCUGAAGGAACGUUGAAGACGACGACGUUGAUAGGCCGGGUGUGUAAGCGCAGCGAUGCGUUGAGCUAACCGGUACUAAUGAACCGUGAGGCUUAACCUU
RNAcentral lists this ribosomal RNA (2903 nucleotides) under Escherichia coli. RNAcentral describes it as "23S ribosomal RNA". It matches the Rfam family "Bacterial large subunit ribosomal RNA". Lineage: Bacteria; Pseudomonadati; Pseudomonadota; Gammaproteobacteria; Enterobacterales; Enterobacteriaceae. The record is from RNAcentral.